RNAcentral lists this ribosomal RNA (407 nucleotides) under uncultured bacterium. RNAcentral describes it as "partial 16S ribosomal RNA". It matches the Rfam family "Bacterial small subunit ribosomal RNA", at positions 30 to 526 of the family's 1533-position model. The record is from RNAcentral.
AUUGAACGCUGGCGGCAGGCUUAACACAUGCAAGUCGAGCGGAGCGGCGGACGGGCGAGUAAUGCCUAGGAAUCUGCCUGGCAGUGGGGGUUAACGUCCGGAUACGGGCGUUAAUCCCGUAACUUUUCAGUUGAGCUUAGGUUGGAUUAGCUAGUUGGGGGGGUAAAGGCCUACCAAGGCGACGAUCCGUAAUUGGUCUGAGAGGAUGAUCAGUCACACUGGAACGGAGACACGGUCCAGACUCCUACGAGAGGCAGCAGUGGUGAAUAUUGGACAAUGGGCGAAAGCCUGAUCCAGCCAUGGCGCGUGUGUGAAGAAGGUCUUCAGAUUGUAAAGCACUUUAAGUUGGGAGGCGUUACCAACAGAAUAAGCACCGGCUAACUUCGUGCCAGCAGCCGCGGUAAUAC